GUUCUCAGAGGUAGCUCAUGUGAGCCAGCAGUGACAUCUGUACAUGCAGUAGCCUCAAAAUACUGAUUAUUUAUUCUCCUGCUAGCAGUGGAGGAGACUUCUGCUGAGGAAGAGGCCCUGCUGUCCUGCCGUCUUACUGGUGCCAUUGAGGGAUCAGCGGCUGCUAUAUAUUCUCCUCGACCUCGAGUAUUUGGACUGAAGGACUCACAGACACGUUUUAUAUUUAGCUCUAUACAUUUUAAAAAGAUUUUUUAAAAAUAUUUUCUUAUUCACAAAGGCUGUAUGGAGACAUUUUGGUUAUUGCCACAGACGCUUUCUCUUACUACGGAUGGAGGAUGUUGCGGUUUUACAACCCAUGAACUGAGAAACGACUCAAUAAGUAAUAUGUUCACAUAUUCCAGUGUUAAACACAAGUGAGUCUCAAUUGAGUGAAGUGUUGGUAACUGAUGCCAAUAUUUUUCUUCUGUUUAAAUCCCAUUCAUAUAAGGGACCCUAAUUUUAUCCUGCUACAAACAUAUUCACCCAGUGUCAUUUAAGUUUCCUGUAAACUACACAUGUAAAGCGGAU
Long non-coding RNA from Astatotilapia calliptera (eastern happy), 567 nucleotides. The record is from Ensembl. NCBI's taxonomy places the organism in Eukaryota, Metazoa, Chordata, Actinopteri, Cichliformes, Cichlidae.